This 626-nucleotide ribosomal RNA is filed under the name uncultured fungus. RNAcentral's name for it is "eukaryotic LSU rRNA". It matches the Rfam family "Eukaryotic large subunit ribosomal RNA", at positions 24 to 664 of the family's 3401-position model. Lineage: Eukaryota; Fungi. The record is from RNAcentral.
CCCGCUGAACUUAAGCAUAUCAAUAAGCGGAGGAAAAGAAACUAACAAGGAUUCCCCUAGUAACUGCGAGUGAAGCGGGAAAAGCUCAAAUUUCAAAUCUGGCGGUCCCGCCGCCCGAGUUGUAUUCUGGAGAAGCGUCUUCUGCGCCGGACCGUGUACAAGUGCCUUGGAACAGGACGUCAUAGAGGGUGAGAAUCCCGUAUGUGACUGGGUGCUUUCGCCUAUGUGAAGCUCUUUCGACGAGUCGAGUUGUUUGGGAAUGCAGCUCAAAAUGGGUGGUAAAUUUCAUCUAAAGCUAAAUAUUGGCCAGAGACCGAUAGCGCACAAGUAGAGUGAUCGAAAGAUGAAAAGCACUUUGGAAAGAGAGUUAAACAGUACGUGAAAUUGUUGAAAGGGAAGCGCUUGCAACCAGACUUGCACUUGGUCGAUCAUCCGGGGUUCUCCCCGGUGCACUCGAUCUCGUUCAGGCCAGCAUCGGUUCAGGUGGUGGGAUAAAGGCCUUGGGAAUGUAGCUUCUUUCGGGGAGUGUUAUAGCCCUCGGUGCAAUGCCGCCUACCUGGACCGAGGACCGCGCUUCGGCUAGGAUGCUGGCGUAAUGGUUGUAAGCGACCCGUCUUGAAACACGG